UAGUGGUGCCCUCAACAAGCGAUUGUUGAGUGAAAAUCGGGUGAACUCAGGGAACCUCCGCCAUAAAGGACAAUCCUGAGCCAAGCCGCUGACGCUUCAGCGGAAGGUGCAACGACUAGGUGGUUCAGACAGCGGUCUGUGUAAUACACCAUAAGCGCCCGACAACUCUAUGAGUUGAUGAUAUAGUCUGGCUCUCACAAAUGGUAAAUGUGAGAGGUGAGGUCACG
This 227-nucleotide non-coding RNA is filed under the name Synechococcus phage S-CBWM1. Its description in RNAcentral is "group I intron". It matches the Rfam family "Group I catalytic intron". From Rfam's summary of the family: Group I catalytic introns are large self-splicing ribozymes. They catalyse their own excision from mRNA, tRNA and rRNA precursors in a wide range of organisms. The record is from RNAcentral. Lineage: Duplodnaviria; Heunggongvirae; Uroviricota; Caudoviricetes.